UACAGAGGUGGCAAGCGUUGUUCGGAAUUACUGGGCGUAAAGGGCGCGUAGGCGGGCUGUCAAGUCUGGGGUGAAAUCCCGCGGCUCAACCGUGGAACUGCCUCAGAUACUGACGGUCUCGAGGGGGAUAGGGGCGAGCGGAACUGUGAGUGGAGCGGUGAAAUGCGUUGAUAUUCACAGGAACUCCGGUGGCGAAGGCGGCUCGCUGGAUCUCUUCUGACGCUGAGGCGCGAAAGCUAGGGGAGCAAACGGG
This 253-nucleotide ribosomal RNA is filed under the name uncultured bacterium. RNAcentral describes it as "partial 16S ribosomal RNA". It matches the Rfam family "Bacterial small subunit ribosomal RNA", at positions 524 to 776 of the family's 1533-position model. The record is from RNAcentral.